Molecule: ribosomal RNA, 468 nt
Filed under: uncultured bacterium
Lineage: Bacteria
Description: partial 16S ribosomal RNA
Rfam family: Bacterial small subunit ribosomal RNA
Source: RNAcentral
GACGAACGCUGGCGGCGUGCUUAACACAUGCAAGUCGAACGGAAAGGCCCUGCUUUUGUGGGGUGCUCGAGUGGCGAACGGGUGAGUAACACGUGAGUAACCUGCCCUUGACUUUGGGAUAACUUCAGGAAACUGGGGCUAAUACCGGAUAGGAUCUCCUGCUGCAUGGUGGGGGUUGGAAAGUUUCGGCGGUUGGGGAUGGACUCGCGGCUUAUCAGCUUGUUGGUGGGGUAGUCGCUUACCAAGGCUUUGACGGGUAGCCGGCAUGAGAGGGUAGACGGGGACCAGAGGCCUGCGAUACGGAGCAGUAUGCUACGGGACGCAGUGGUCGGAAGCAUUACGGAGUAAGGCGACGCCAGAUACAAAGACGCUGGGAGCGGGAUGCCGGGUUAUGGGUUAUGAACAGCUGUGGAAGGAGCCGUGGAGGGCGUGACGGUAAUGAGUAAGAAAGCAACGGCUAACUACGUG